Molecule: non-coding RNA, 576 nt
Organism: Cinara cedri
Lineage: Eukaryota; Metazoa; Arthropoda; Insecta; Hemiptera; Aphididae
Source: the annotation of a GenBank genome assembly
AAUAAUAAAAAAAAAAAAUAAAAAAAUAACGUGAACCCGUAACCGCGGAAGUUUAAUUUCGCCCGGUCGAGUGAGUACCUAUACAUAAUAUUGUAAGAACCGUUAUAGUAUUAUUUAUUAUAUACAUAUUAUAUGCAUGCGCGCAGUGUAUACUGCGGUACUGGGACGGUUGAUCGUCUGGGAAUAGUUGUUCUAACCGUCGAUUUUGAUUUUAUAAAAUAUUUAUAACUUUUGAACGGUCAACGAACUCCUCUCGCUCCUUCAUCAUGAUACAUAUACACAUAUAUAUAUAUAUAUAUAUAUGUGUGUGUGUGUGUGUGUGUAGGUACCCAGUAAUAAUAUUUACCUUUAUUAUCGCUUUACCGAGAAGCGAAUGGGUGCUGGGUGUGUGAUUACAAAAAAAAAAAAAAAAAACAAUUUUAAAAAACUAGUUUUAUCUGCACGAUUAAUUGACUUGUUUGCAUUGCAUGUAUACGUGCAAUGCGUUGUACAUUUACGAUAAAAUGAUGAAUCUUAAUUUGAACUCCAAUGCACCGAGUAAAAAUUAUCACAUAAUCUUACAUUGAUCGGUUUUCA